GCUGCUACUGGCCUCUAAUGGGCAGAGGCCAAGGCUAAGGAUGCCGCAAAUAUUCUUCAGUACACAGGGUAGCCUCCCACAAUGAAGAAUUCCCCUGUCCAAAACGCCAACAGUGCAGCAGUUGAGAAACCCCACAUUAGUGUAAUUCAUCCAACUGCUACCAGAAAGGUGCCUGCCCAGAUAAGGACUGCCUUAGGCCGGCCUAUAGUGGGUGGGUUUUUGACUUGUGUAGGAAAGAUUUCACAGCAUGAGUUCAGGUGAUUUUUGAUAGUAUGUUCAUUAAGGCCAGGGACAGUGAAACGAAGGAAAGACUUAGGGUAGAAGUAACAAGAGAGAGCCAAGACGGGGCUGCUGUUAGCUCACCUGCAGUCAGAGGAAGAUGAUUCCCUGGAGACAGGAUCAAGGGGUAAAAGUAUAUAUUUAGAAGUCCAAGAGUCCAGCAGAGAAAUGCUAGCACAUUACUGGAGGAAAAAAAGAGGGUGUGAGGAACUGGAUGCAUUGAAGCUGUGUUGAAAAGGAAAAUGUAAUAUGGAAUAAUAUUGGAGACUCCAUGAGCACAGACAGCCUUGUAUUCAGCCCCGCUUUGACCUCUGCAGAAGCAAGCUUCCUGCAGGUGUAAACUGGCAGCCCCUACCUCAGCUACUCCCAGUAUAUUCAACUUCCU
This is a long non-coding RNA of Phyllostomus hastatus (greater spear-nosed bat), 664 nucleotides long. RefSeq lists it as uncharacterized. The record is from RefSeq and is a predicted model, not a curated record. NCBI's taxonomy places the organism in Eukaryota, Metazoa, Chordata, Mammalia, Chiroptera, Phyllostomidae. The transcript is spliced from 3 exons.